This is a long non-coding RNA of Octopus bimaculoides (California two-spot octopus), 317 nucleotides long. The record is from RefSeq and is a predicted model, not a curated record. Lineage: Eukaryota; Metazoa; Mollusca; Cephalopoda; Octopoda; Octopodidae.
GGCAGCUAAUACCUAUAGCAGCAACACUAGUAGUACAAUGAUAGAUAUCUCAUUAAUAUCUAAUGCAAUAAAACUGAACCACUACAAAGUAUACUUUUCCUAGGAUACUGUAACUUCCAGAUGAUCAGCUCUUUUGACAACCCAGAAAUGAUGACCAAGUCAAGCUGGUGUUCUGAAUUUACAACAGGUGAAAACUACAGGAUACACUGUACCUGAUAUGCUGGGUGUUAUGUUCUGUGAAUUACAGAAUUCCAAGACUGAAGAUAAUAUUUUGUUCAACAGUAGUUUGAAAGGAAAUAAAACAAUUUUUACAUUUA